Molecule: transfer RNA, 76 nt
Filed under: Candidatus Competibacter phosphatis
Lineage: Bacteria; Pseudomonadati; Pseudomonadota; Gammaproteobacteria; Candidatus Competibacteraceae
Description: tRNA-Thr
Rfam family: tRNA
About the family: Transfer RNA (tRNA) molecules are approximately 80 nucleotides in length.
Source: RNAcentral
GCCGGGAUAGCUCAGCCGGUAGAGCAACUGAUUCGUAAUCAGUAGGUCGGGAGUUCGAUUCUCCCUUCCGGCACCA